Molecule: long non-coding RNA, 531 nt
Organism: Exaiptasia diaphana
Lineage: Eukaryota; Metazoa; Cnidaria; Anthozoa; Actiniaria; Aiptasiidae
Exons: 3
Source: RefSeq, a predicted model, not a curated record
UCUCCACUAGAGUCCCGCCCGCUUGUUGUAUUCAACAAAAGACUUGGUGARUAAGAUUAUAUAAAUACAGUGCUAAUCGUGAAACAUUGUUACUUUGGUCAUCCCCGCCACUAGAUUAACCAUCUUCACAAGAUAAACAUGGCACACACAAGAGGUAUGAUCUACGCACUCUCAGUAAUACUAGUUCUAAGUCUCUUAUCACAAACAACGAUGUCAUUUUUCCGAGAGGGACGAGGACUACAAUCAUUUAAACGAACAAGAAUGARUGCUGAAUAUGAACCGCUGAACAGGGAACAACAAGAACCAUUCCGCAAACUUUACAACCAAAUACAUUUGAAAAGGAAAUAUCAUAAUCAAGAACGAGAAUGAAGUCUACGCCAUCAGAUAUUACCAUGGCAACCAAUUGAUCAAUAACAAUAACUAGGAUGUUUUCUAUCACCCUUCAUUGGUCGGCUUGUUUACCAUACGAGCUAUGGCGUCAUAUUUAGUUUAUCAGAAUAAAUAAGAAAAUAAAGUAUUAUUCAUGACAUU